RNAcentral lists this ribosomal RNA (440 nucleotides) under uncultured bacterium. RNAcentral's name for it is "partial 16S ribosomal RNA". It matches the Rfam family "Bacterial small subunit ribosomal RNA", at positions 338 to 795 of the family's 1533-position model. The record is from RNAcentral.
CCUACGGGACGCAGCAGUAGGGAAUAUUGCACAAUGGGGGAAACCCUGAUGCAGCGACGCCGCGUGAGUGAGGAAGUAUUUCGGUAUGUAAAGCCCUAUCAGCAGGGAAGAAAAUGACGGUCCCUGACUAAGAAGCCCCCGCUAACUACGUGCCAGCAGCCGCGGUAAUACGUAGGGGGCAAGCGUUAUCCGGAUUUACUGGGUGUAAAGGGAGCGUAGACGGCUAGUCAAGUCAGAAGUGAAAGCCCAGGGCUCAACCUUGGGACUGCUUUUGAAACUGAGUAGCUAGAGUGCAGGAGAGGUAAGCGGAAUUCCUAGUGUAGCGGUGAAAGGCGUAGAUAUUAGGAGGAACACCAGUGGCGAAGGCGGCUUACUGGACUGGAACUGACGCUGAUGCUCGAAAGCGCGGGUAUCGAACAGGAUUAGAUACCCCUGUAGUC